RNAcentral lists this ribosomal RNA (228 nucleotides) under uncultured bacterium. RNAcentral's name for it is "partial 16S ribosomal RNA". It matches the Rfam family "Bacterial small subunit ribosomal RNA", at positions 15 to 224 of the family's 1533-position model. The record is from RNAcentral.
GAUCAUGGCUCAGGAUGAACGCUGGCGGCGUGCUUAACACAUGCAAGUCGAACGGAGUGCCCUUGAUUGAGGAUUCGUCCAAAUGAUAGGGUUACUUAGUGGCGGACGGGUGAGUAACGCGUGAGUAACCUGCCUAGGAGUGGGGAAUAACACAGAGAAAUCUGUGCUAAUACCGCAUAAUGCAGUUGGGUCGCAUGGCUCUGACUGCCAAAGAUUUAUCGCUCUUAG